ACAUGCCUACAACAUAGAGUUAAUGCACUGGCUCCCAUUAGAACUCCACAAUUAAGCGUGCUCAGGAUAGAGUAGUACUGGGAUGGGUGAUCGCUCGGGAAGUCCUAGUGUUCUACAUGCC
Non-coding RNA from Picea glauca (white spruce), 121 nucleotides. The record is from Rfam. Lineage: Eukaryota; Viridiplantae; Streptophyta; Pinopsida; Pinales; Pinaceae.